Molecule: small nucleolar RNA, 79 nt
Filed under: Sphenodon punctatus (tuatara)
Lineage: Eukaryota; Metazoa; Chordata; Lepidosauria; Sphenodontia; Sphenodontidae
Description: Small nucleolar RNA R38 (ENSSPUG00000007782.1)
Rfam family: Small nucleolar RNA R38
About the family: snoR38 is a C/D box small nucleolar RNA conserved across yeast, human, Arabidopsis and rice. It is encoded in the intron of elongation factor-1 gamma in both pombe and cerevisiae. snoR38 guides the methylation of 2'-O-ribose sites in 28S rRNA.
Source: Rfam by way of RNAcentral
CUGAGCCGCUGAUGAUAUAAAGUUAUCCCUGUCUGAAUUAAGAAACUUUGCUUUGUGGAAUUCUAACUCUGAGGCGCAG